GGCGCACGGGUGCGUAACGCGUAUGCAAUCUGCCUUUCACAGAGGGAUAGCCCAGAGAAAUUUGGAUUAAUACCUCAUAGCAUUAUAAGAUGGCAUCAUUUUAUAAUUAAAGUCACAACGGUGAAAGAUGAGCAUGCGUCCCAUUAGCUAGUUGGUAAGGUAACGGCUUACCAAGGCGACGAUGGGUAGGGGUCCUGAGAGGGAGAUCCCCCACACUGGUACUGAGACACGGACCAGACUCCUACGGGAGGCAGCAGUGAGGAAUAUUGGUCAAUGGGCGCAAGCCUGAACCAGCCAUGCCGCGUGCAGGAUGACGGUCCUAUGGAUUGUAAACUGCUUUUGCACAGGAAGAAACACUCCGACGUGUCGGAGCUUGACGGUACUGUGAGAAUAAGGAUCGGCUAACUCCGUGCCAGCAGCCGCGGUAAUACGGAGGAUCCAAGCGUUAUCCGGAAUCAUUGGGUUUAAAGGGUCCGUAGGCGGUCUUGUAAGUCAGUGGUGAAAGCCCAUCGCUCAACGGUGGAACGGCCAUUGAUACUGCAGGACUUGAAUUAUUGGGAAGUAACUAGAAUAUGUAGUGUAGCGGUGAAAUGCUUAGAGAUUACAUGGAAUACCAAUUGCGAAGGCAGGUUACUACCAAUGGAUUGACGCUGAUGGACGAAAGCGUGGGUAGCGAACAGGAUUAGAUACCCUGGUAGUCCACGCCGUAAACGAUGGAUACUAGCUGUUGGGAGCAAUCUCAGUGGCUAAGCGAAAGUGAUAAGUAUCCCACCUGGGGGAGUACGAACGCAAGUUUGAAACUCAAAGGAAUUGACGGGGGCCCGCACAAGCGGUGGAGCAUGUGGUUUAAUUCGAUGAUACGCGAGGAACCUUACCAAGGCUUAAAUGCAGACUGACCGAUUUGGAAACAGAUCUUUCGCAAGACAGUUUACAAGGUGCUUGCAUGGUUGUCGUCAGCUCGUGCCGUGAGGUGUCAGGUUAAGUCCUAUAACGAGCGCAACC
This 1002-nucleotide ribosomal RNA is filed under the name Flavobacterium sp. Its description in RNAcentral is "bacterial SSU rRNA". It matches the Rfam family "Bacterial small subunit ribosomal RNA", at positions 97 to 1103 of the family's 1533-position model. Lineage: Bacteria; Pseudomonadati; Bacteroidota; Flavobacteriia; Flavobacteriales; Flavobacteriaceae. The record is from RNAcentral.